CUUUGUCAUCACCGCCCGUUAGUGACCAGCUGGACCACGCCGUCUUCCCAUUUCGUCUCUAACAUGUGCUAUGACCAGUGGCGGAAAUCGCAAAGUGACGCUGACCAAAUGGACUUCUAUGACAAAUCAAGUCAUCAACAUUCAUGUUCACGAAAAUAUUCACCAUGCAGAGUGUGAACAUGGUGAUCUCCCAUGACAACUGUAGUUUGACAAAGGGGCCGAGGCACACCUAAAGUUCAAGAACAUAGUCUGUGCUAAGAUGCUUUUGAACAAUAUUGGACAGCUGUCAUCUAUUGGGCAGACGUACAGCGCAGAAGUGUACCCCCCACCAGCCUUCUGCUUCAAUUCCUUCCCAAUGAUGCAUGCGUAGACCAUGAAAGGAAUGAAGCUAGGUCACUCCUGGCUGCCACGGACUUCAAUGAAAAUGGAUGCUGGGCACAGGCAAUGUCAAGCAGUGCUGAACUCCGGUACAAAGUCAGUCACCCAAAAGAUCAGGACGGCAAAGCAGUGCUAAAGACUC
This is a long non-coding RNA of Ornithodoros turicata, 520 nucleotides long. RefSeq lists it as uncharacterized. The transcript has 3 exons. The record is from RefSeq and is a predicted model, not a curated record. NCBI's taxonomy places the organism in Eukaryota, Metazoa, Arthropoda, Arachnida, Ixodida, Argasidae.